ACCUGAUCCGAGAUUCUUCGCCCUCAAUAAGGCCUCGUUGUAGUGGAGCCACUGGUAGGGCUUGGUGGGCCCGUCUCUCCAGCCAAGGCAUUGUCCAUUAUCUAUUUUUCCCCCACAAAACAAAAGCGAAGUGGUGAAUCAUGGAGAGUCUCGUAAAGAACCUGGGACGAUCUUUGCCCCGAGGAAUUGUGCAAGAUUUAAGGAUUUUUUUCAAAAUCGUCCAACGAAACGAUUCAGGACGAAAAAAUCGGGCACACGAAUCAAGGCAUUUUUCGUUUCGUUCAAUGCGGAGAGGAAAAAAAGUAAAAAAAAAAGAGUGUAACGGUCGUUCCGAAAGGUCGAGAAAAAUACAGAGAAAGCUCCGAAGAAUCGAGGCUAAUUGCCUAUUUUUUUUUCCAAGCAACAGACCGAACGAUGAACAACGAAAAACAGCAAUAAAUAAAGUUGCGGGAUCUCCUUGCCAAGAAAUAAUUCACGAUUUACCGUAUUUUUAAUGAAGCAUCAGACAAAAAAUAUAAGAAAACGUAAGAAUUCGAAUUUCAUGACUUCCGCGAUGGAAAAAGUGCAGCGAAGAAUACGCGAUUUAGCGAGCUUCGCGUUCGUAUAGUCCGAGAGAACAACGAACUGCCAAUUUUUCUCUGUGAUACUCUGAAACCUUCCUCGUGUAUGAAGUCACGAGGGAAUUGUAUAGAAUGGGUCGAGUAAUAUUAGCCAGCAGCAGAGAGAAUGAGGGAGAAGCGUAGCGUCGUUGGCCUCGUGCAAGAGCACGCGUCAAACUUUCGAGGCUCGUAUACACCUACGAGGAUUAAAUCUCGUGACAACCGCGCCACUCGUGACGUCUCGUACUGAUCGCUGAGAUCGAUUGGCGGACGAAUGGUCUCGUGGAAGACGCAGCCCGGCAUCUCGGUACUCGGACUGGCCUUGUCGCACCAGCUUGCGGUAUAUUUUCGCGCGAAAAUUCGAAAUUCUCCGAGUGGAAAAACAAAGUGGAGAAGACGAUGGAUUUAUCGAAGGCUGAAGGUCGCGCACGAGAUUCGAUGGGACGAAAUAAAGACGGGACGCUCCAACCGGGCCCAGAAAAUUUGGGCUGUCUGCCCUCGUGGACACCACCACUGCACCAACCGUUUAUUCAAGAUCUGAAGUCAUAACGGAUGAACGAACGAUGAAAUUUGUAUCGCUACUCAUGCAGAGAAGAAGUACAUCAAAUUUUUGGUUAUACUCGUACCAGGCCAGAAGUUCGUGAACACGUUGGAACUGAGUUAUUG
Molecule: long non-coding RNA, 1265 nt
Organism: Venturia canescens
Lineage: Eukaryota; Metazoa; Arthropoda; Insecta; Hymenoptera; Ichneumonidae
Exons: 3
Source: RefSeq, a predicted model, not a curated record